GAUGAAGAACGCAGCGAAAUGCGAUAAGUAGUGUGAAUUGCAGAAUUCCGUGAAUCAUCGAAUCUUUGAACGCACAUUGCGCCUUCUGGUAUUCCGGAAGGCAUGCCUGUUCGAGAGUCAUUAACAACCGUUUCGAUCCCUUUCUUUCAGAAAUUACAAAGAGGAAAAGGGUUUGGUUAUGGUGGAGGAGGGAAAGGGAGCGUUUAGCCUGUAAAAAAAGAGGCUGUGUUCCGCCUCCCCCCCAAAAUUGUACAGGCGGUCGUGUGCGCCCACGCAUCGAGGUGUUGUAAAAGCUGCCACGGCACUUUUCACCUGUGCAGUGCGAGAUUGGCCAGCCGGUUUAAAAACCCCUCCAAACAAUCAAAGGUUGACCUCGGAUCUGGUAGGGAUACCCGCUGAACUUAAGCAUAUCAAUAAGCGGAGGA
RNAcentral lists this unclassified non-coding RNA (425 nucleotides) under soil metagenome. RNAcentral's name for it is "partial contains 5.8S ribosomal RNA, internal transcribed spacer 2, and large subunit ribosomal RNA". The stretch from base 1 to 120 matches the Rfam family "5.8S ribosomal RNA", at positions 35 to 154 of the family's 154-position model. The record is from RNAcentral.